CCUACGGGCGGCAGCAGUGAGGAAUAUUGGUCAAUGGACGAGAGUCUGAACCAGCCAAGUAGCGUGAAGGAUGACUGCCCUAUGGGUUGUAAACUUCUUUUAUAUGGGAAUAAAAUGUUCCACGUGUGGGAUUUUGUAUGUACCAUAUGAAUAAGGAUCGGCUAACUCCGUGCCAGCAGCCGCGGUACUACGGAGGAGCCGAGCGUUAUCCGGAUUUAUUGGGUUUAAAGGGAGCGUAGGUGGAUUGUUAAGUCAGUUGUGAAAGGUUGCGGCUCAACCGUAAAAUUGCAGUUGAAACUGGCAGUCUUGAGUACAGUAGAGGUGGGCGGAAUUCGUGGUGUAGCGGUGAAAUGCUUAGAUAUCUCGAAGAACUCCGAUUGCGAAGGCAGCUCACUGGACUGCAACUGACACUGAGGCUCGAAAGUGUGGGUAUCAAACAGGAUUAGAUACCCUUGUAGUC
Molecule: ribosomal RNA, 460 nt
Filed under: uncultured bacterium
Lineage: Bacteria
Description: partial 16S ribosomal RNA
Rfam family: Bacterial small subunit ribosomal RNA
Source: RNAcentral